UCUCUCUCGCUCUGUCUCUCUCUCUUGCUAUCUCUCUCUCUCUCACUCUCUCUGUCUCUCUCUCUCAGGAUUGUGGGUAGUGGGAGGAGUCGAGAGUUUUGCGGCACACUUUUGAGAGUUUGUUACUUUUAAUCAAUUUCUUAGUUCUUUUUUAAGAUUCAUGUAAAAAAAAAAAAAAGAUUAAUCUUAGACAUAAAACUUCUUUGAGCGCCGACUUCGGUCGGAAAACUUUGACAAAUGGGGUGAAGGGGAGAUUUCUCACGCUUGACUCUGAGACAUGGAUUUAAACGUACACCUGAUGACUCCGUAUCUGUGGAAGAUGUGCUGGUUGCAGUCAGUGAACAGAUGUGUUGUUAUCUCUAGCAUCCCUGCUGGUGCCUCUGCAAAUUACACCUGCAACAUGAGGGGUCGUCAUGUGAACAUCAUCAUUCCCAAUGUUAUCCAGGCUCUCACGCUCUGUGAAGUGGAAGUCUAUGGGGUUCCAGGCUACACUUUUAUAUCCAGUUCACAAUUUCAUAUACAUUUGAAGUCAAAUUAAGUUUUACAACAGCUGCUAAAUAUCAACAUUGCUAAUUUUUUUUAGUGCCUGUUACUAAGAGGGCAUUUCUGAGAUUGAAGUUUAACAUCAACGAUAUCUACCAAUGCCCAGCCUUCAGUGCGUCAGAUCUGUUGGACUACAGAACCAGAGGUGGAAAAUGAAACUUAAAAAACGGUAGGAAAUAUCAGUACUACUACUGCAAUAAUAAUAAUAAUAAUAAUAAUAAUAAUAAUAAUAAUACAACUACUUCUACUGCUAAUAAUAAUAGUAAUAUAGCGAUAAGAGGCAAUCUGUCCAAACACUCCCUGCAUAUAGCACUCCCAGUGGCCAGUUCUUGUCAAGAUUCAUAGAACAAUAAAGAGACCAUAUGUGAACAUACUUAUGCAUAUCACAUUUUGUGAUGAUGGCUCAAUGCUAGUUGUGUAACCUACCUGCUGAAAGCUGACUGGCAGAAGGCAGACAUUUUUGAAGUAAUUCAGUUACAGAUUAGCAGAAAGUGCACAGCAAAUUCUGCUCAAUUGGCAUUUUGGUUCCUGAGAAACAGCUAUUUGAACUUAACGCUGACCCUUAUAAACAUGAACAGCACGCCCCAGGUAGCCAAUUUGAGCGAGAUUGCAUUGGAUACUAGGAGGUCCAUCCCUGAACUUUCUAUUCAAGUUUUGUGGCAAUAACCUAAUGGGAAACUUUUCAAUUAUCUGAUAUCUGAUUGGCCAAUGACAGGCAUGUUUUUUUUCAGUAAUUAAGUCAUCAUGAGAAUCUAUUAUAGAUUAGCACAUACGGUAUAUCUACCAUAUCAAAUUUCAGCUUGAUCAGACAUACAGUUCCUCAUAAACAGCUAUCUGAUCUUAGCUCUGCUCCAUUUGUAUGACCAAAUUUGGCACAUAGCAAAAAAUGCUAAACUAACUUUUGUCAACUAGUGCUAGGAUGUUUGGCCUAGCUUCAGAAAUUUGGUGACAGUCCUCAUUAAUUAAUUUUUGGUGUGAUGCUCAAUAAUUAUCAAAAACAUGUUGACAUUUGUAAACAGCAACAUCUCACUUUCCUGGGUAAUGGGAGGAAGUACUACAACCCCAAUUCCAAAAAAGUUGGGACGUUGUGAAAAAUGUAAAUAAAAACAGAAUGCAAUGAUUUGCAAUCUCAUAAACCCAUAUGUUAUUCACGGUAGAACAUAAAAAACAAAUCAAAUGUGUAAACUGAGGAAAUGUAGCAUUUAAAGGAAAAAAAUAGGUAACUUUGAAUUUAUGGGCGCAACACGUCUCAAAAUAAUUUGGACGGGGCAACAGAAGGUUGGAACAGUAAGUGUUACUAAAAAGAAACAGCUGGAGGAACAUUGCGCUACUAAUUAUGUUAACUGGCAACAGGUCAGUAACAUGAUUGGGUAUAAAAAGUGUAUCUUAGAGAGGCAGACUCUUUCAGAAGUAAAGAUGGGCCUCUGUACACCAAUCUGCGAAAAACUACAACUACAAUUUGUGGAACAAUUUCAGAAUAAUGCUCCUCAAUGUAAAAUUGUGAAGGCUAUGACUAUCUCAUCAUCUACAGCACAUCAUAUCAUGAAAAAAUUCAGAAUCUGGAGAAAUCUGUGGCCCGAGUCUCUUUCCAUAAAUCUUAAAUAAACACCUCCUUAUAGAUAGCUUCACCAUAUCAACGACUAAAAGUUUUUAUUAAAGUAGUAUAGCACAAAUCUGUUUAUUAUUAGACUUUGAUUAUGUGGAAUGUUUGCCAGAGAAGUCUCUGUGAAUGAUUUGCUAUCAUAGAAAGGAUAACUUAUUACAAUGAGCACAUUAAUAUAAACCUGAGAUAUGAAUUGCAACCUUCAGACCUUCUGACCUAUCAGAUUCCAGAGUGCAACAGC
Ictalurus punctatus (channel catfish) is the source of this 2387-nucleotide long non-coding RNA. RefSeq lists it as uncharacterized. The record is from RefSeq and is a predicted model, not a curated record. The transcript has 3 exons. Lineage: Eukaryota; Metazoa; Chordata; Actinopteri; Siluriformes; Ictaluridae.